Molecule: long non-coding RNA, 481 nt
Filed under: Physcomitrium patens
Lineage: Eukaryota; Viridiplantae; Streptophyta; Bryopsida; Funariales; Funariaceae
Description: long non-coding RNA (PPAT_LNC008479)
Source: RNAcentral
CCCCAGAUGGCUACUUUCAGCACUUCGCCAACAACCCACUACGACCCUCGAAUCAGAUUGAACAUCUGGCGCAAGAAGGCAGAAAAUUCCCAAACCACCGCAUCUCCAAACAAUUCUAUCCUCAACCGCUACAGGUCAAAACUAGCUCCGGAAGGACGCCAGCGGUUGUGCAGUCGUUUGAUACUGUUAUCAAUCAGAGUUGUCACUUGCGCUCAGUGUCCAGCCAGGCUGCCGAACUGUCGCGAUCAAGAGACCGUCGCUGAAUGAUAGUGUGAGGAGGUGAUCGGCAGAGAUUAUCUCCACGGGUGGCGAAAAAAUGACCGGAAUGAAACGAGAGAAGCGCGACUUUCCUCCGACAACCUAAACGCUCCACUUGAAAAUAGAACACCACGCGCUAAAGCGUUCACUCUCGCCUAGGCUCACACGGUGCCAGCGUUGAAUUCUCGCCCUGGUCCCCCCUUGACGUCAGCUUCAAAGGAGC